Molecule: ribosomal RNA, 254 nt
Filed under: uncultured bacterium
Lineage: Bacteria
Description: partial 16S ribosomal RNA
Rfam family: Bacterial small subunit ribosomal RNA
Source: RNAcentral
UACGUAGGGGGCGAGCGUUGUCCGGAUUUAUUGGGCGUAAAGAGCUCGUAGGCGGUUCAGUAAGUCGGAUGUGAAAACUCGGGGCUCAACCCCGAGCCUGCACCCGAUACUGCUGUGACUUGAGUCUGGUAGAGGAGUGUGGAACUCCCGGUGUAGCGGUGAAAUGCGCAGAUAUCGGGAAGAACACCAGCGGCGAAGGCGGCACUCUGGGCCAGCACUGACGCUGAGGAGCGAAAGCGUGGGUAGCGAACAGG